Long non-coding RNA from Thunnus maccoyii (southern bluefin tuna), 1177 nucleotides. RefSeq lists it as uncharacterized. The record is from RefSeq and is a predicted model, not a curated record. The transcript is spliced from 4 exons. Lineage: Eukaryota; Metazoa; Chordata; Actinopteri; Scombriformes; Scombridae.
AAUGCAUAAAUUAUUUAAUUUGGCAUAGAAAGAUUUAAUGUAUUGAUUUUAUAUUUUAUUUAGUGUUCUUUUUUGUUUUACUUGUUAAUCAAACAUUCUUACAUAUACUUAUUUAUAAAAUAAUUUAAUGAUAAAGACGUGUGUUAUUUUAUAGAGCAAUGAUAAUUUUGUCAACAACUUGUAAAAUGGUUUAUUUCCAGAUGAACAUGCGCACUGCAGCACAUUACAGCAUCCGCCAGAUGCUCCAGUACACUUCCGCUUCCGCUUACCUGUGAUGGCCUGCUUGCGUCUUUGAAAUAAGCCCUUUAUAUCUACAUGGGAGUGGGUCCCCCUCCACAUGGCCGCCAUGUUGCAUCGCCAUGUUUCUACAGUAGCGCAGAACAGACAAACCUAACACUGGCUCCAGUGAGGACCUUACGCAUUUUAGAUUCAGUGGGCGACUACCGGAAAUGCACCAGUUUUAAAACGAAGAAGAAGAAUGGACCAAACAUUUUGUAUUGUGAGAAGUUUUUGAAACCAAAAUCUGAUAAAUGGAGGAUCAUACUUAUUUAGAAAAUCACAGGAGCGUGAAUUGUCAUCGUCAAAGAAACGAAAACACGAAGAAGCUAAACGAAAUCGGGACAAGCAACAGCAUAAAACGAGGAUAAACCCAGAUGGAAAUCCCUGGUGAGAGAAAUGUUUGCAGACUGAUGCCGAAGUUUCCUGUUUACUGCUGGACAGGCACUAUGGGUUGGCAUUAUUCACCAUGUCUUUGACAUUCACACCCGCCAUAUCAGAAGUAUUGCAGACCAAGUCAGGAGAGGUCUUGAAGCAGUUUUCCAUGCAGCUGCUGCUCUACACACGGCUUCUGGAGCAGAUGAGUGACAGUAGUGACAGUGAAUCAUGGGUGUUGUUCCUGCCAUGAGAGCAUCUUCAUCCAGAGCAGUAAAUUGAAUACCUUUGGUGUGGUAUUGGUCUCACCCUUGUCAGCUAUUAAAUGUGCCGCAAUUUGACUGCUGGAAGGUGAUCGGAUAAGUUUAAUCACACUGCUUUUAGUGUUCAAACAGACUAAUGGUUUGAUAGAUUAUUCUGUCUUUAUCAGAAUCAACUCUGAAGAACACUGAAUAAGCUGUCAAAAUGUUUGUUUGAACAGUAAAAGCUGCAUGUUUAUGUUAUUCUUUUAUUGCCCAGAUUGAAA